Molecule: ribosomal RNA, 265 nt
Filed under: uncultured diatom
Lineage: Eukaryota; Bacillariophyta
Description: partial 16S ribosomal RNA
Rfam family: Bacterial small subunit ribosomal RNA
Source: RNAcentral
AGUUGCCAUAANGAACUCUAAAAAGACUGCCGGUUAUAAACCGGAGGAAGGCGGGGAUGACGUCAAGUCNNCAUGCCCCUUACACCCUGGGCUACACACGUGCUACAUUGGGUGAGACAAUGAGAAGCAAACCUGUAAAGACUACCAAAUCUAAAAACUCAUUCUAANUUCGGAUUGUAGGCUGCAACUCGCCUACAUGAAGGUGGAAUCGCUAGUAAUCGCUGGUCAGCUAUACAGCGGUGAAUUCGUUCCCGGGCCUUGCACA